UACGGAGGAGGCAAGGCGUUAUCCGGAAUUAUUGGGCGUAAAGCGUCCGCAGGUGGCUAUUCAAGUCUGCGGUCAAAGACUGGGGCUUGAACCCUGGAAAGGCCGUGGAAACUGAAGAGCUAGAGUGCAGUAGGGGUAGAGGGAAUUCCCGGUGUAGCGGUGAAAAUGCGUAGAGCUCGGGAAGAACAUCGGUGGCCGAAAGC
RNAcentral lists this ribosomal RNA (203 nucleotides) under uncultured bacterium. Its description in RNAcentral is "partial 16S ribosomal RNA". It matches the Rfam family "Bacterial small subunit ribosomal RNA", at positions 524 to 722 of the family's 1533-position model. The record is from RNAcentral.